CAAUGUUGAUCGUGUUUAUGACGUCGAAUAUCGACGUCAUAAACAUCUAAGUUGAUCGUGUUUAUGGCGUCGAUUAUCGACGUCAUAAACACCAAAG
Molecule: non-coding RNA, 97 nt
Organism: Paramuricea clavata
Lineage: Eukaryota; Metazoa; Cnidaria; Anthozoa; Malacalcyonacea; Plexauridae
Source: the annotation of a GenBank genome assembly